Molecule: non-coding RNA, 74 nt
Organism: Amborella trichopoda
Lineage: Eukaryota; Viridiplantae; Streptophyta; Magnoliopsida; Amborellales; Amborellaceae
Source: Rfam
GGGCCUGUAGCUCAGAGGAUUAGAGUACAUGACUAAGAACCACGGUAUUGGGGAUUCGAAUCUCUCCUCGCCCA